Dreissena polymorpha is the source of this 552-nucleotide long non-coding RNA. RefSeq lists it as uncharacterized. The record is from RefSeq and is a predicted model, not a curated record. The transcript has 3 exons. Lineage: Eukaryota; Metazoa; Mollusca; Bivalvia; Myida; Dreissenidae.
CCAGAUUUUUUUUCAGCGCUAUAUAAACGGGUUGCUCAGUACACAUUAUUCAUCAUACAAGCUUUUUUGUUGUGAGUGCUAAAUUGACUAUCUACGGAAUCCUCAGAUUUAAGCAAUAAAUCGUCUACAGAUCCAUAGUGAUAAUUCAUAUACACAGAGAGCAACUGACGAAUUAAACAUGUGCAACGGCGAAAAGGGAGUAGCGGCGGCGAUGGCAGAGCGGCGUGGUCAGGGGACCAGCAGAGUUCCUAUUCACUUCCUGUUACGUCACUUCGGUGGCGUCUGUUGGAGUUAGGGAGCCAGACUGGAUUACACUAGGGUUUACCCUAGCAAACGAUGACGACAACUAUCAUCCACAGAAACCGAGUCAUAAAAACUUUGUCACGUGAUAGUCUGUCUUGUUGUUAUCAUGAUAACAACCAACAUGCAGUAGUUUUUAUAUAACAAUGUUGACAUGGUAUUUGUGUAAUGUAUAUUUAACAUGUAAACAGAUUAGUUUCAAAGUAUUGUUGUUGUCAUCAGUUUUUUAAUAAAUGUAUAUGCAUAUAAAAA